Polypterus senegalus (gray bichir) is the source of this 686-nucleotide long non-coding RNA. RefSeq lists it as uncharacterized. The record is from RefSeq and is a predicted model, not a curated record. The transcript is spliced from 3 exons. Lineage: Eukaryota; Metazoa; Chordata; Cladistia; Polypteriformes; Polypteridae.
AUACCAGAAGGGUUCGCUGGUGUCUCACUCAUUAAAGUUGUGUCUGGCUUGAGGCCGCGUGUCUCGGAAGGAGUACGCCUUUGUCAUGCGUGGGAAUUGCUGGUUUUAAGUGGGAGACACCGCCCUUUCACACUGGUGCCGACUUGGGAUGUGGAAAACACCGAAGGUGACGUGCGACUCACGCUCUUCGACGUACGCCGGCGGUGUCCAGUCGGCAUACCGGAGGAGUACGGCGGCGGCGGCGGCGGCAGCAGCAGCAGCAGCAGAUAUUUUACUGACGACGCUGUUCCCUGUACGGGCGAUUCAUACUGGCCUGUUUCCACCCUUUUCCCCAUGCGCCUGGGUUAGGCAUUGCUAUCCUCAACUGUGAAUUAUGUUAUGUGUGUUUGAGGACAUUAUUGGCGAAUGGGACCAAGUGAGCUGCUUGCUUACUGCCGGAUAAAAGUGCUAAUCGGUUGUCUCUACCAGCAGGUAAACUAAAACACACAUUUCAUAUGGCAGCAGUACUGUAAUUAGCUCCCAGAUAAUAAAUUGGCCAUGGUGUAAACCUGCAGCCACAACAAGAACAGGCCUGGGGAUCCCUUGUCUAUAUUAUGACCAGAGACGACCAUAAAGAGCUGGACUGGACGGAACUGGAGUGUUCAAAUUCAUUGGCUGUCCCUUCAAAUAAAUCAGAAUCACUCUUU